AUUGAACGCUGGCGGCAGGCCUAACACAUGCAAGUCGAACGGUAGCACAGAGAGCUUGCUCUCGGGUGAUGAGUGGCGGACGGGUGAGUAAUGUCUGGGAAACUGCCCGAUGGAGGGGGAUAACUACUGGAAACGGUAGCUAAUACCGCAUAACGUCGCAAGACCAAAGUGGGGGACCUUCGGGCCUCACACCAUCGGAUGUGCCCAGAUGGGAUUAGCUAGUAGGUGGGGUAAUGGCUCACCUAGGCGACGAUCCCUAGCUGGUCUGAGAGGAUGACCAGCCACACUGGAACUGAGACACGGUCCAGACUCCUACGGGAGGCAGCAGUGGGGAAUAUUGCACAAUGGGCGCAAGCCUGAUGCAGCCAUGCCGCGUGUAUGAAGAAGGUCUUCGGGUUGUAAAGUACUUUCAGCGGGGAGGAAGGCGGUGGAGUUAAUAACUUCACCGAUUGACGUUACCCGCAGAAGAAGCACCGGCUAACUCCGUGCCAGCAGCCGCCGUAA
RNAcentral lists this ribosomal RNA (504 nucleotides) under uncultured bacterium. RNAcentral's name for it is "partial 16S ribosomal RNA". It matches the Rfam family "Bacterial small subunit ribosomal RNA", at positions 30 to 523 of the family's 1533-position model. The record is from RNAcentral.